GAUGAAGAACGUAGCAAAAUGCGAUAAGUAAUGUGAAUUGCAGAAUUCAGUGAAUCAUCGAAUCUUUGAACGCACAUUGCGCCCGCCAGUAUUCUGGCGGGCAUGCCUGUUCGAGCGUCAUUUCAACCCUCAAGCCCCCGGGUUUGGUGUUGGGGAUCGGCUCUGCCUUACGGCGGUGCCGCCCCCGAAAUACAUUGGCGGUCUCGCUGCAGCCUCCAUUGCGUAGUAGCUAACACCUCGCAACUGGAACGCGGCGCGGCCAUGCCGUAAAACCCCAACUUCUGAAUGUUGACCUCGGAUCAGGUAGGAAUACCCGCUGAACUUAAGCAUAUCAAUAAGCGGAGGA
Molecule: unclassified non-coding RNA, 346 nt
Filed under: soil metagenome
Description: partial contains 5.8S ribosomal RNA, internal transcribed spacer 2, and large subunit ribosomal RNA
Rfam family: 5.8S ribosomal RNA (bases 1-120)
Source: RNAcentral